RNAcentral lists this ribosomal RNA (755 nucleotides) under Brevundimonas sp. Its description in RNAcentral is "bacterial SSU rRNA". It matches the Rfam family "Bacterial small subunit ribosomal RNA", at positions 84 to 875 of the family's 1533-position model. Lineage: Bacteria; Pseudomonadati; Pseudomonadota; Alphaproteobacteria; Caulobacterales; Caulobacteraceae. The record is from RNAcentral.
CUUCGGGGUUAGUGGCGGACGGGUGAGUAACACGUGGGAACGUGCCCUUUGGUACGGAAUAACUCAGGGAAACUUGAGCUAAUACCGUAUGUGCCCUUCGGGGGAAAGAUUUAUCGCCAUUGGAGCGGCCCGCGUCUGAUUAGCUAGUUGGUGAGGUAAUGGCUCACCAAGGCGACGAUCAGUAGCUGGUCUGAGAGGAUGACCAGCCACAUUGGGACUGAGACACGGCCCAAACUCCUACGGGAGGCAGCAGUGGGGAAUCUUGCGCAAUGGGCGAAAGCCUGACGCAGCCAUGCCGCGUGGAUGAUGAAGGUCUUAGGAUUGUAAAAUCCUUUCACCGGGGACGAUAAUGACGGUACCCGGAGAAGAAGCCCCGGCUAACUUCGUGCCAGCAGCCGCGGUAAUACGAAGGGGGCUAGCGUUGCUCGGAAUUACUGGGCGUAAAGGGCGCGUAGGCGGACAUUUAAGUCGGGGGUGAAAUCCCAGGGCUCAACCCUGGAACUGCCUUCGAUACUGGAUGUCUUGAGUGCGGGAGAGGUGUGUGGAACUCCGAGUGUAGAGGUGAAAUUCGUAGAUAUUCGGAAGAACACCAGUGGCGAAGGCGACACACUGGCCCGUUACUGACGCUGAGGCGCGAAAGCGUGGGGAGCAAACAGGAUUAGAUACCCUGGUAGUCCACGCCGUAAACGAUGAUUGCUAGUUGUCGGAGUGCAUGCACUUCGGUGACGCAGCUAACGCAUUAAGCAAUCCGCCUG